GUGCCAGCGCCGCGGUAAUACCGGCAGCCCGAGUGAUGGCCGAUCUUAUUGGGCCUAAAGCGUCCGUAGCCUGCCGUGCAAGUCCAUUGGGAAAUCCACGUGCCUAACGCGUGGACGUCCGGUGGAAACUGCAUGGCUUGGGACCAGGAGGCUCGACGGGUACGUCCGGGGUAGGAGUGAAAUCCUGUAAUCCUGGACGGACCGCCGAUGGCGAAAGCACGUCGCGAGGACGGAUCCGACAGUGAGGGACGAAAGCCAGGGUCUCGAACCGGAUUAGAAACCCGGGUAGUCC
RNAcentral lists this ribosomal RNA (292 nucleotides) under uncultured bacterium. RNAcentral's name for it is "partial 16S ribosomal RNA". It matches the Rfam family "Archaeal small subunit ribosomal RNA", at positions 455 to 747 of the family's 1478-position model. The record is from RNAcentral.